UAGGACAUUGUUUUACAAUCAUUCUUG
This 27-nucleotide non-coding RNA is filed under the name Mus musculus (house mouse). Lineage: Eukaryota; Metazoa; Chordata; Mammalia; Rodentia; Muridae. The record is from RNAcentral.